Molecule: long non-coding RNA, 1614 nt
Organism: Talpa occidentalis (Iberian mole)
Lineage: Eukaryota; Metazoa; Chordata; Mammalia; Eulipotyphla; Talpidae
Exons: 4
Source: RefSeq, a predicted model, not a curated record
UUCCAGCUUAAAGGAGGCAGACAAGACCUAUCAGCUCAGGCUGAGUGGGCUGCGCCAGCACUUUCUUUUGCCAGUGAGGACGGUGUUGGGCAGUGAGCAGAGUUUGGAGGAGGUCUGCAGGCACUUAUCGUUGAAAUCCGGAAAGGGAUAUUAGCGGUUUGGAUCAACUUGUACCAAGAAUUCGGGCAGCGAGAGAUUUACAUGAAUGCCACCCAAACCUAUUCAGGAACUCCGAGGGUGAAGAUGGAAGCGUUCAGGGGACAUGAUUCCGGAAGGUCAAAUCUCUGCAGAGGUCUCCAGUGGAGGUGAGAUGAGAUGACCCUGGAUUCAGGCUGGACCCUACAUCAAAGACUGGCGGCCCUACAAGUGGAAGUGAUGAAGGCACCGCAAGGCCAGAAACUGGAGGUGGGGAGGAAAUGAUUGACUCAGCCACAGAAAUGAAAACGCCUCAGGUGCAGAAUGCUCCGGAAAAGGCAGACCAGAGGAGAGAUCUGACUUAGCAGAGAGGGACCGACAGAGACCCACAAAGGCGGAAAGUACUGAAGACUUGGGAAAGACGACGAGGUCGGGGAUGGGGGGAGAGGGAAAGAGAGAGAGAGACAUGAAUUGAUGGGGAUAGCCUAAAGGACAUGGUGACCGAUCCAGGGACCUGCCAAUUUUGAGGGGCCCAGAGGGACAUCUGGAGACCUUAGGAGAGGGCAAGGAUGACUCACGAAACCAAGAUGACCCCCAAGAACAAGGCAGCCAGACACACGACGGCAAUGCUGCCGAGCAGGGCCGAGUUCCGCAUCUUUCUCUCUGUCCUGUAGUGCAGGGCCAUGCGGGGUUGCCCGUCCACUGGGCCAGCAGGGGAGACCACACAGACCCCCCAAAUCAGCACCCAUCCAUGGCCACCCCCCCCACCGGGGCGACCUGGGCACAGGUAGGGUCCCUCAACUACCUACUUGACCCCUGACCUCUCCUGGCGUCUGGCUGUCCAUCUGCUCCUAAAACUCUCUAUGGCAGGUGGGGUUCUAGACCUUGCUAGAGGGCAAGGGCAUUUCAGAAUGUCCAAACGGCUUCUGAACCACACAGUAACUGUGAAGGGCAGGAUUCCAGGCUGCCUGGGGUCCCCAAACUCCACAACCCAUGGGACACGACUUUUCAUCUCUCACCAACCUGUCCCAGGUCUUCUCCAGCCCCAGGUACUUACUGAAGCAGUACUUUUUUUUGAUGCAUUGUGGGCUGAUCUUCUGGCAACGUAGACAGUCCAUGACCUCUUCUUUUAGGAAGUCUGGGGAGGGGAAGGGAGAAGUGAGAUGAGGGCAAAUGGCAGAGGACUGGCAAGGGGCAGAGAGGCAGAGAGGGAAGAGAAGUCCCCAGCCCUUCUGAGUUUGCGCAGUGCAUGCAGGAUGAAAGGUGCUGAUGAUUCACGCUGAAAACACUUUUUUAAAAAAAAGAUUUAUUUGUUUGUUUAUUUAUUUAUACAAGCACUGGGUACAGUCAGAAGUGCGGGAGGGUGAGAGAAUUCACCAGAGCCAGAGCCAGGAGCAGAACAGGCUGAUGGACCGAGGUACACUGCUGAGGGGAGCAGUGGGUGGCAGGAGAGGUCUGCCCGCCAUGUGGGACCCUCGC